Molecule: transfer RNA, 75 nt
Filed under: Rhodospirillaceae bacterium
Lineage: Bacteria; Pseudomonadati; Pseudomonadota; Alphaproteobacteria; Rhodospirillales; Rhodospirillaceae
Also listed under: 9 other names
Description: tRNA-Thr
Rfam family: tRNA
About the family: Transfer RNA (tRNA) molecules are approximately 80 nucleotides in length. Their secondary structure includes four short double-helical elements and three loops (D, anti-codon, and T loops). Further hydrogen bonds mediate the characteristic L-shaped molecular structure. tRNAs have two regions of fundamental functional importance: the anti-codon, which is responsible for specific mRNA codon recognition, and the 3' end, to which the tRNAs corresponding amino acid is attached (by aminoacyl-tRNA synthetases). tRNAs cope with the degeneracy of the genetic code in two manners: having more than one tRNA (with a specific anti-codon) for a particular amino acid; and 'wobble' base-pairing, i.e. permitting non-standard base-pairing at the 3rd anti-codon position.
Source: RNAcentral
GCUGCCGUAGCUCAGUGGUAGAGCACCCCCUUGGUAAGGGGGAGGUCGAGUGUUCAAUCCACUCCGGCAGCACCA